Molecule: long non-coding RNA, 977 nt
Organism: Hydra vulgaris (swiftwater hydra)
Lineage: Eukaryota; Metazoa; Cnidaria; Hydrozoa; Anthoathecata; Hydridae
Source: RefSeq, a predicted model, not a curated record
GUGGUUAGCUAGAUUAUUUUACUCUAAUAAGUAACUUAAUUGUUGAGUAAACUUGAAUGCUUAAAAAAACUAGAUUAAGUUUUUAAUUCUACUUAAUUAUCAACUGCUUUUAACGCAAAAAAAUUUAUUUGGAUUUGAAAAAAGGGAACAACAUUCUCAGACUUUUUCUUCUUUAACUCUAAAAAUUAAAAAUAAUAUCAGUGGUUUUUAAAAAAGGAAUUACUAUAGUUAAAAAAGGCUGAAAGGAAAAAAUAUAAUGAUUUGUUUCAAGAAAGGGAGUGACUUACUUCAAAAUCUCAUUUUAAAAUUUUUAUUCUUUAAUGAUAUUCUGGUGUUAUUACCAAAUGUUUAGCAGUAUGAAACCUAUAAUAUUAUAUACCAUACUAUAUACCCUAUUUUACUUAUAAAGUUAAUAAUCUGUAAAGUAAUUUGUAAAAAUUUUUUAAUUGUAAAAUUGCUACAUGAGAAGACAAGUUGUUAGAUGAAAUUCAAAUAUUCUCUAUGUUUGUGUUGUGUAGGUCAAAAAAUAAUAAACAAAGAUGAUAUUGAUUGUGAUGACCAAGAGAUUCAUUUUAAGACACAUCAAUCUUCAUCAUCUUUAAAUAAAAAGGAUAAACAUUAUGGAUUUCCAUUAUCUCAAGCAAAAACCAAGAGUUCAAAAUAUUAGUGGUAAGAACUGUCAAAAACUUGUGAUAGCUAUGAUGAAGAGAUUUGUGACAAAUUCGCUCAUGGCCAAAUCUAAUAUGGCAGCUGGAAAAGGCAAAGGAUCUUUUUAGCCUAACUAAGCUAUACAAUUUAAUAAAAGUUUGUCCAUCGACUUCUCACGAAUCAUACACAGAGUCGAUUAACGAUGCAAUAAUUGCGGAUUCGUGAAAACGGGCAACUUUUGCUUGUCUUAAAGUGCCUUAAAUCCAUCGUUAUAAUAUUACUUUGUUUGUAUAUUGUUUUGAAAAAUAAAUUUAAAAAUAACUAUUAAA